GCGAACAUAGUUUAUUAAAAUUCUAGUCUGUGACUCUAGAGAUAGGGACUAAUUAUCCCUUGUCCGCC
Molecule: transfer RNA, 68 nt
Filed under: Phyllobates terribilis
Lineage: Eukaryota; Metazoa; Chordata; Amphibia; Anura; Dendrobatidae
Description: tRNA-His
Rfam family: tRNA
About the family: Transfer RNA (tRNA) molecules are approximately 80 nucleotides in length. Their secondary structure includes four short double-helical elements and three loops (D, anti-codon, and T loops).
Source: RNAcentral